GCGCUCGCUUUGGGGAGCACAUGCACUAAAAUUGGAAUGAUCCAGAGAAGAUCAGUAUGGCCUCUGUGCAAGGAUGACACGCAAAUUCAUGCAGUGUUCUGUAUUUUU
Cervus hanglu yarkandensis (Yarkand deer) is the source of this 108-nucleotide small nuclear RNA. NCBI's taxonomy places the organism in Eukaryota, Metazoa, Chordata, Mammalia, Artiodactyla, Cervidae. The record is from Ensembl.